RNAcentral lists this ribosomal RNA (497 nucleotides) under uncultured bacterium. RNAcentral describes it as "partial 16S ribosomal RNA". It matches the Rfam family "Bacterial small subunit ribosomal RNA", at positions 28 to 507 of the family's 1533-position model. The record is from RNAcentral.
GAUGAACGCUGGCGGCGUGCCUAAUACAUGCAAGUCGAGCGAACGGACGAGAAGCUUGCUUCUCUGAUGUUAGCGGCGGACGGGUGAGUAACACGUGGAUAACCUACCUAUAAGACUGGGAUAACUUCGGGAAACCGGAGCUAAUACCGGACAAUAUUUUGAACCGCAUGGUUCAAAAGUGAAAGACGGUCUUGCUGUCACUUAUAGAUGGAUCCGCGCUGCAUUAGCUAGUUGGUAAGGUAACGGCUUACCAAGGCAACGAUGCAUAGCCGACCUGAGAGGGUGAUCGGCCACACUGGAACUGAGACACGGUCCAGACUCCUACGGGAGGCAGCAGUAGGGAAUCUUCCUCAAUGGGCGAAAGCCUGACGGAGCAACGCCGCGUGAGUGAUGAAGGUCUUCGGAUCGUAAAACUCUGUUAUUAGGGAAGAACAUAUGUGUAAGUAACUGUGCACAUCUUGACGGCACCUAAUCAGAAAGCCACGGCUAACUACGUG